AUUUUGGACAAUGGGGGAAACCCUUAUCCAGCCAUCCCGCGUGUAUGAUGAAGGCUUUCGGGUUGUAAAGUACUUUUGGCAGAGAAGAAAAGGUAUCUCCUAAUACGAGAUACUGCUGACGGUAUCUUCAGAAUAAGCACCGGCUAACUACGUUCCAGCAGACGCGGUAACACGUAGGGUGCGAGCGUUAAUCGGAAUUACUUGGCGUAAAGAGGGUGUAGGCGGUUAGGAAAGAAAGAUGUGAAAGCACAGGGCUCAACCUUGGAACUGCAUUUUUAACUGCCGAGCUAGAGUAUGUCAGAGGGGGGUAGAAUUCCACGUGUAGCAGUGAAAUGCGUAGAUAUGUGGAGGAAUACCGAUGGCGAAGGCAGACCCCUGGGAUAAUACUGACGCUCAGACACGAAAGCGUGGGGAGCAAACAG
This 422-nucleotide ribosomal RNA is filed under the name uncultured bacterium. Its description in RNAcentral is "partial 16S ribosomal RNA". It matches the Rfam family "Bacterial small subunit ribosomal RNA", at positions 361 to 775 of the family's 1533-position model. The record is from RNAcentral.